GAGUUUGAUCAUGGCUCAGGACGAACGCUGGCGGCACGCCUAACACAUGCAAGUCGAACGGAGAUAUUUUGGUUUACUGAGAUAUYUUAGUGGCGGACGGGUGAGUAACACGUGAGCAACCUGCCUYUGAGAGAGGGAUAGCUUCUGGAAACGGAUGGUAAUACCUCAUAACAUAACGAAGCCGCAUGACUUUGUUAUCAAAGAUUUAUCACUCAGAGAUGGGCUCGCGUYUGAUUAAAUAGUUGGUGAGGUAACGGCUCACCAAGUCGACGAUCAGUAGCCGGACUGAGAGGUUGAACGGCCACAUUGGGACUGAGACACGGCCCAGACUCCUACGGGAGGCAGCAGUGGGGAAUAUUGCACAAUGGGGGAAACCCUGAUGCAGCGAUGCCGCGUGGAGGAAGAAGGUUUUCGGAUUGUAAACUCCUGUCUUAAAGGACGAUAAUGACGGUACCUAGGAAAAG
This 464-nucleotide ribosomal RNA is filed under the name uncultured Bacillota bacterium. RNAcentral's name for it is "bacterial SSU rRNA". Lineage: Bacteria; Bacillati; Bacillota. The record is from RNAcentral.